RNAcentral lists this ribosomal RNA (476 nucleotides) under Chaetodon auriga (threadfin butterflyfish). Its description in RNAcentral is "partial small subunit ribosomal RNA". It matches the Rfam family "Bacterial small subunit ribosomal RNA", at positions 788 to 1491 of the family's 1533-position model. Lineage: Eukaryota; Metazoa; Chordata; Actinopteri; Chaetodontiformes; Chaetodontidae. The record is from RNAcentral.
CACUAUGCCUAGCCCUAAACAUUGACAGUUAAUUACACCCACUGUCCGCCUGGGAACUACGAGCACCAGCUUAAAACCCAAAGGACUUGGCGGUGCUUUAGACCCACCUAGAGGAGCCUGUUCUAGAACCGAUAAUCCCCGUUAAACCUCACCCUUCCUUGUCAUUUCCGCCUAUAUACCACCGUCGUCAGCUUACCCUGUGAAGGCCUAAUAGUAAGCGCAAUCGGCAAUGCCCAAAACGUCAGGUCGAGGUGUAGCGAAUGGAAGGGGAAGAAAUGGGCUACAUUUACUAACACAGUAAAUACGGAUGAUUACCCUGCAACGAGUAUCUGAAGGAGGAUUUAGCAGUAAGCAAAAAGCAGAGUGUUUUGCUGAAAUUGGCCCUGAAGCGUGCACACACCGCCCGUCACUCUCUCCGAACUAAAACUUUAAACAUAACUAAUAUGCUAUAACUGUAAAGGAGAGGCAAGUCGUAA